This 68-nucleotide transfer RNA is filed under the name Empoascanara sp. RNAcentral's name for it is "tRNA-Tyr". The record is from RNAcentral. Lineage: Eukaryota; Metazoa; Arthropoda; Insecta; Hemiptera; Cicadellidae.
AUUAAGAUGUCUGAUUUAAGUAAUAAAUUGUAAAUUUAUUUAAAGGUUAAAGUAAAACCUUCUUAAUA